This 253-nucleotide ribosomal RNA is filed under the name uncultured bacterium. Its description in RNAcentral is "partial 16S ribosomal RNA". It matches the Rfam family "Bacterial small subunit ribosomal RNA", at positions 524 to 776 of the family's 1533-position model. The record is from RNAcentral.
UACGUAGGGUGCGAGCGUUGUCCGGAAUUAUUGGGCGUAAAGGGCUCGUAGGCGGUUUGUCGCGUCGGGAGUGAAAACCUCGGGCUUAACUCGGGGCUUGCUUUCGAUACGGGCAGACUAGAGGUAUGCAGGGGAGAACGGAAUUCCUGGUGUAGCGGUGAAAUGCGCAGAUAUCGGGAAGAACACCCGUGGCGAAGGCGGUUCUCUGGGACGGUACUGACGCUGAGACGCGAAAGCGUGGGGAGCGAACAGG